UACGGGGGGGGCAAGCGUUGUUCGGAAUUACUGGGCGUAAAGGGCUCGUAGGCGGCCAACUAAGUCGGAUGUGAAAUCCCUAGGCUUAACCUAGGAACUGCAUCCGAUACUGGAUGGCUUGAAUCCGGGAGAGGGAUGCGGAAUUCCAGGUGUAGCGGUGAAAUGCGUAGAUAUCGGGAGGAACACCAGUGGCGAAGGCGGUUCUCUGGGCCUUACCUGACGCUGAGGAGCGAAAGCGUGGGGAGCGAACAGG
Molecule: ribosomal RNA, 253 nt
Filed under: uncultured bacterium
Lineage: Bacteria
Description: partial 16S ribosomal RNA
Rfam family: Bacterial small subunit ribosomal RNA
Source: RNAcentral